GAGGGAUGGGGGGGGGGCAAACAGGAACGUGCCGCCGCCGCCACAAACUACAUGCCGUCCUGCGGUGUUCUUUCUGUUCCAGCAGUCGCGAGGGCUUGAUGUGCGCAAAAGUGAACUCAAACAUCACCACCACCAGAGCAGACAGUAACAACUACAGACAAGCUGGAUGACGCUGUGGAGGUGAUGCCUAUGGUAAAAACAGCGGUCCAGCCGGGCUCCAACCCCGUAUGCGCCGGCUCCACCUCCUCAGGUGACCACAUGGACGACUCCACCACGGUCAUCAAGCGUACCAGAACACCAUCACCUGGAACUCACCUCAACCUUACUUUCACUGUCUGCUGCUAAGAAGGCCACGGGACCAGAUGAUGUGCCAAACGAGUUUCUUUGAUGCCUCCCAGAUGCUCUGCUGCAGCUCCUUCUGGAUGUCCUCAACAACAGCUGGUUGUUGGGGACGUUCCCUUCAGCGUGGCGUCUUGCCACCACUAUUCCUAUUCCUAAGCCUGGCAAGGACCCGACAGCGGCCUCCUCUUAUAGACCUAUUAGCCUCCUGUCUAACAUUAGCAAGGUUUUCGAGCAUGUCAUUCAAAAUAGACUAACCUGGUGGUUGGAACCAAUUGUAUACAUAUAAUUGUAAAAAAUGGUGAAAGAAUGUCACCACCUUUUUGACAUUACAGGUGACUUGGGAUUUCUUCAGAACCAUGUUUUUGUAAUAGUAAAAAAAUAAGGUGCUGGAGUUAUACUGGACCAUAAUCUUUUCACUCUAUUUUAUAUUUAUGAUUUUUUCUUAUGGCUUGCUAUUAUGGACUCGGACCUCAAAAUUGUCCUUAAUUCAUGUAAUGUCUGUCUCAUUUAAUAUGAAGAAUUUGAUUUAUUACCAAAAAGAAAGGUAAGAUAAAUUUAUACAGAGAUACCAGCAGCUCAUUUUCCAGAUGAAACUAUUUUU
This is a long non-coding RNA of Portunus trituberculatus (swimming crab), 943 nucleotides long. RefSeq lists it as uncharacterized. NCBI's taxonomy places the organism in Eukaryota, Metazoa, Arthropoda, Malacostraca, Decapoda, Portunidae. The transcript has 3 exons. The record is from RefSeq and is a predicted model, not a curated record.